UACGUAGGGUGCGAGCGUUAAUCGGAAUUACUGGGCGUAAAGCGUGCGCAGGCGGUUUUGUAAGUCAGAUGUGAAAUCCCCGGGCUUAACCUGGGAACUGCGUUUGAAACUACAAGGCUAGAGUGUGGCAGAGGGGGGUGGAAUUCCACGUGUAGCGGUGAAAUGCGUAGAGAUGUGGAGGAACACCGAUGGCGAAGGCAGCCCCCUGGGUUAACACUGACGCUCAGGCACGAAAGCGUGGGGAGCAAACAGG
Molecule: ribosomal RNA, 253 nt
Filed under: uncultured bacterium
Lineage: Bacteria
Description: partial 16S ribosomal RNA
Rfam family: Bacterial small subunit ribosomal RNA
Source: RNAcentral